Molecule: long non-coding RNA, 445 nt
Organism: Tribolium castaneum (red flour beetle)
Lineage: Eukaryota; Metazoa; Arthropoda; Insecta; Coleoptera; Tenebrionidae
Exons: 2
Source: RefSeq, a predicted model, not a curated record
CAAUAAAUAAAUAUUCUGCGGCAUCACUUAUGGGCUUUUAAAAGGUGUAUUGGGGAGAAAAUUGCCUUUCCCGCGUACUGUCAUAGUUGGCGAGCGUGACUGUGGUCAAUGUUGGUACCAUUUUUUCUUAUUAAAAUGUUUGUGUAUGGUUUGAGUGGUUUUAGUGGUGAAAAUUGUUGCUGGUGAGCCAAAAAUGCAGUAUUUUGACUUUGUGAAGCCGCAACGACUUUAUUUUUGGAAGGAUUUUGGAAUCUACAGCAUACAAUGAAGACAUGAUGGAAUUCAAGGGAAGGGAGUGACAAUGCUACUACCUUCCGCCUUCGACGCUGCUUUAGAACAAAUAAAAACUCUUAAUCGAAUCCGGUAAUGGGGUUGAAUGCUGUCAUUAUGUUAUGUUGGGGCGUCAUAGCCGGCUGCUUUUAACUGAAUAAAUUUAUCGAAUUAA